UAUACAUGCAGUCGAGCGAACAGAUAAGGAGCUUGCUCCUUUGACGUUAGCGGCGGACGGGUGAGUAACACGUGGGUAACCUACCUAUAAGACUGGAAUAACUCCGGGAAACCGGGGCUAAUGCCGGAUAACAUUUAGAACCGCAUGGUUCUAAAGUGAAAGAUGGUUUUGCUAUCACUUAUAGAUGGACCCGCGCCGUAUUAGCUAGUUGGUAAGGUAACGGCUUACCAAGGCAACGAUACGUAGCCGACCUGAGAGGGUGAUCGGCCACACUGGAACUGAGACACGGUCCAGACUCCUACGGGAGGCAGCAGUAGGGAAUCUUCCGCAAUGGGCGAAAGCCUGACGGAGCAACGCCGCGUGAGUGAUGAAGGUCUUCGGAUCGUAAAACUCUGUUAUUAGGGAAGAACAAAUGUGUAAGUAACUAUGCACGUCUUGACGGUACCUAAUCAGAAAGCCACGGCUAACUACGUGCCAGCAGCCGCGGUAAUACGUAGGUGGCAAGCGUUAUCCGGAAUUAUUGGGCGUAAAGCGCGCGUAGGCGGUUUCUUAAGUCUGAUGUGAAAGCCCACGGCUCAACCGUGGAGGGUCAUUGGAAACUGGGAAACUUGAGUGCAGAAGAGGAAAGUGGAAUUCCAUGUGUAGCGGUGAAAUGCGCAGAGAUAUGGAGGAACACCAGUGGCGAAGGCGACUUUCUGGUCUGUAACUGACGCUGAUGUGCGAAAGCGUGGGGAUCAAACAGGAUUAGAUACCCUGGUAGUCCACGCCGUAAACGAUGAGUGCUAAGUGUUAGGGGGUUUCCGCCCCUUAGUGCUGCAGCUAACGCAUUAAGCACUCCGCCUGGGGGAGUACGACCGCAAGGKUGAAACUCAAAGGAAUU
Molecule: ribosomal RNA, 880 nt
Filed under: Staphylococcus cohnii
Lineage: Bacteria; Bacillati; Bacillota; Bacilli; Caryophanales; Staphylococcaceae
Description: bacterial SSU rRNA
Rfam family: Bacterial small subunit ribosomal RNA
Source: RNAcentral